UACAGAGGGGGCAAGCGUUAUUCGGAAUUAUUGGGCGUAAAGGGCGCGUAGGCGGCUUUGCAAGUGGCGGGUGAAAUCCCUCGGCUUAACCGAGGAACUGCCUGCCAGACUGUGAGGCUUGAGACCGGGAGAGGUGAGUGGAAUUUCCCAGUGUAGCGGUGAAAUGCGUAGAUAUUUGGGAGGAAACACCAGUGGCGAAGGCGGCUCACUGGACCCGGAACUGACGCUGAGGGCGCGAAAGCGUGGGAGCAAACAGG
Molecule: ribosomal RNA, 257 nt
Filed under: uncultured bacterium
Lineage: Bacteria
Description: partial 16S ribosomal RNA
Rfam family: Bacterial small subunit ribosomal RNA
Source: RNAcentral